RNAcentral lists this long non-coding RNA (2115 nucleotides) under Pocillopora damicornis (cauliflower coral). Its description in RNAcentral is "uncharacterized LOC113668214, transcript variant X2". Lineage: Eukaryota; Metazoa; Cnidaria; Anthozoa; Scleractinia; Pocilloporidae. The record is from RNAcentral.
ACUUAAAAAUAACAGAGGUGCAACUUCAGCUGUAUGAACAACCUUUCAUGUAGAAAAAGUAUCCUUAUAAGGUGGUGCAACAUUACAAGUAGGUAACAAAGAGCUAAGUCAGCUUAUAAGUCAGAUUGCCCAUUCUGCCAGAGCACAGCCGGGUUGCCUUAGCACUUUGUCAGAGCUUUCCUUGACAUUUUCGCAGUACUCUUUUUAUUCAUCCUGAGUGUAAUGUGUAAGUAAAAUGUAUUUUCUUGGAUAAUAUCAUUAUAGAACAAUUGAGCCAGAGUUCUGGGCUCCAGACCACCAGACUAUUGUUUCUAUCACAAGAUUUCUUUUUGAAUGAUUGUGAGUAAAUGAAUAUCAUACAUAUGAACUGUGGAUUAAUAGAAUCAUGGUUUAUUUUACACAUUGAGGAUCUAUUACAAGGAUCAAUCAAAGAAAAUAUAGAUAAAAGGGUUCUCUGGUAGGAAGGGAACAAUAAGUUUAUUUACUCAACUUUAAGCUAAUUAUGACUUUUAAAUGCUGAAACCCCAAACUUAAAAGACCUGAUGAUGGGCUGAAGCUUGUCCCUCUCAGGAAACAUGUGAUGGUUUUUGAAUGAAUAGACACAUUCAUUUGGAAAUUCCAAGGUUUAUUGAAACAAUCAGCAAAUCAGCUGUGCUUAAUUGUUUAAAUGGGUUUUCUGAGGAAAAUGAUGGACUUUCUGCUUGGUCAAUUGACUAACAGACUGAUAUGAAAUAAGUUCAGAGCAGUAGUUUGGGAAUCAGUGCCACUAUUUCAUUUCCAUUCCUACGUACAGUGAAUUUAAGCCUUGCGACUCACAAUACUUCCUCGCCCUACUAAGAGAAAUAGUGAUUCUCAUGCUAAGAUUUGAUAGUCAAUGUUGCUAAGCUACAAUUCCCUUAAUGAAAUUUGACUUUUUCUUGACCAUUUGUUUCCUUUUCUUUCUGAUCAAAGCAGAACCGGUGAUAUUUCAAGAGACAUUUAUUUUGGUGUCAUUUAUUUAAUUAUGACUGUUUAAAAGUGCUAUUCACAAUACCAUCACAUCUCCUAAGACUGUUUUCACGAGUUAAAAAGGAGUUUGGAAAUGUGAUUAAACAUAUUCAUGUUACGCGUUAAUUUUUUCCUAACUGCUUUUGGUCGUUUGUUUUGUUGUUUGUUUGUUUGUUUGUCUGUUUUCUGGUAGUUUCCAUGUUGUUGCAUGUAAUGUAAUCCCAUCUGUGUUAGCUCUUUUCUUUGGUGUUUUAUCAUUCCAUGUAUUUUCUGUAGAUAAGAGUUGUGAGUUUAAAAGUUUUGACGUCCUUUUAUCUGCGAUUUUCUAGAUUUUGGAAGGAAGUGAAGGGGAAGGAAAUAGACUCAAGAUCACUUUCUCGUCUAAAGCAGACGGUAACGCAGAAAUCUCAAUUUUAAAAUGACAGUCAAGGGGGAAGAGAAUGUUUCCUUCAGACUGUAAGAGAAGGAAAGAAGAAAAUAAAAGGUCCAAGAAAGUAUCAGCGUGGAAAGGGAGAAAUCUGCUAACAUUCCAAACUAACGCGUUCAGGACUCGUGUUCCUCAGAACAAAGAUUGACGGGGGAUAUGAUUUGACGCAAGAUUUCGGCUGUCUUUCACCUCUGAAAAUUUGCUUUUGGUGGAUGAGUUGCUUUGGGAAAGAUUAGAAUUUUUAUCUCCUUUUUCAAGGCUGCCUGAAAGAUCACAAGUGAAGAAGAUCAAGAGAGACGAGAUUAUUUUUUAUUCUGGUUUCUUCGACCACCCAAAGCUGAUACCAAGGAACACGAUCACCCUAAGAAUUAUACCAGCGACAAAUAUAAAUCUUGGAAAGAAAUCAAAAUUGGAUCGACUCCCAAUUCAGGGAAUAAAAUGAAAAAUUGGGGGUCGAUCCGUCCACCAUCCGCCACACCCCCCUCUAUUAGAAAGUUUAUAACACUUAUCUACCCGUCCACCACCUCUCCCCAUACCCGCCACAUUUGGUCAGUUUUCAUAAGGGGUACAAAAAUCUUUUAAUAUACUAGCACUACAGUAAAUAAUUACCAUACAAUCUUUUAAUAUGUAUUACAAUGGUAAUAUUACAAUCUUUCUCUAACAAUCAUAUAAUACAGUAAUAUUACAAUUAUUUGAUACAG